RNAcentral lists this long non-coding RNA (206 nucleotides) under Elaeis guineensis (African oil palm). Its description in RNAcentral is "long non-coding RNA (EGUI_LNC065112)". Lineage: Eukaryota; Viridiplantae; Streptophyta; Magnoliopsida; Arecales; Arecaceae. The record is from RNAcentral.
UCGGUGAUCAGCCAAUGAUCGAAAAAUAAAAAGAAACGGGCGGAUCCCCUAUUUUUCAAAUUCUUUAAAUUUUCUGCCGGUCGAAUCUCAUCGUCGGCCAUCCUUGGCUCUACCACCGUCUCCACCUGCUGCCGGACAUUCGGUCAUGCUGCCAUCCCUCACCGGAGCCAAGCUGGAGCCCCCUCAUCCAUCCUCUGUUCGGCCCA